GAAAGAGUUGUUCGCAAGCCAGUCUACGCAAAAGGGAGUAGAUUGACUCGAACCGUCCAUUCUCGCGCUAACAUGUAGCGGAUACUAUGCACAAUGGAUGCGUUUGACUCAUAACAACCCUUCUCAAUAAGCUCCGCCACUUAUUAGGAAUCGACUUCCAGACUUCCUUAUCCCUGGGCCCCAAACUCUAUUGAAACCUGUGAAUACACCCACCCCUGUGAAUACACCUACCCCAGAGUUCCGCUUUUGUCGAUGAGGCAGAUACCAAUCAUGUACGUAAACCCAGGUCGAGUCGAUGAGGCAGGUCAAAAUCAUGUACGUAAACCCAGCAACCGCGGAAACUUGGGAAUCUCUAAACAAACCACCAGCUCCUGCCAACCCCACCGAAUACGGACUUUAAGGCACAAUUAAUAUAAAACAGAUCACUUUCAUAGCGAUAAUGCUCUCAAAUCAAAGUAAGGCAAAGCCACUGAGCAAGAUGGAUGCCACUGAACUAGCAGCAGCCAUAAAGAGUUCAAAUAUCAGAGGAAAAAUCGGGAUGUUCAAUAUUGUAUUGUCGAAACUUCAUUCUCUGUUUUUCUUUUAGUACAAUAGGUAUUAUUCUUUUUCGGGGACAUAUUUACUCUAGCCAAUAAGGAUAUCUCUAGCCAAGAAGAUAGGCGCCGAGCUUAAUCCGGUGGUAUGAUAGUCUUAGCCUUCUGGGUCCUAUCCUUCUUGCUUGGCUCGAAACCUAACUCAAUGGCAACCUGCUUUUCUUUUGGAUUUCUCGAAAUGGGUCUGGAGUCCGGCUUGCUUAGGUCGAGUAAGCUUCUCAUUAGCUCGUUUUGAGGCUUUCAACAUCACAACAUCAGUGUAGGAGCCAUAGCUCUUGACUUAGAGGGUAAUGUACCCAAUGUCUUUCUCACUUAGUGAAGAGAUCACGAAUAAGGUUAAGGUAGAGAUUGAAUGUCUCCGGAGGGGUUGCUUUACCUGAACCUAUGUAUAGCCCUGUUUACAGUUGGCGAAGAAGAACGUCUGAUUCUAGGCAUGACAUUAAAUGAAAAGAGUGACUUCGGUGCUUGAUUUCAUCAUCUCCCAUGCAACCCUUCUUUAUCGGGAUAGCAACUACCCUUUGUUCAUGACCUACUUGCCUUAGACUACCUUACUUUGAAAGAUUGGGAUCUUUCCUGCACACUGUACAUAUAACAAACUACCUAACUAUUAAGAUUGGGAUCUUUCCUGCACACUGCACAUAUAACUAACAAGAAUUCCAAUUACCGGAUAACGAUACAUUCUAAGAAAGAGCUAUUCUGACAUUCUAAGAAAGCUAUGAUAUUAGAAAAACCAAACUUGAUAAGCGGUACUAGCUAGCACAACUGAGGAGGUGCCAACCAACCCGAUAUUUGAGCAUUUGUGAGUUUAGGAUAGUCGCAUUCUUUGCUUACCGAUGCUUUCUGUACACGAGUAGCGAGCGUAGUAC
Molecule: long non-coding RNA, 1459 nt
Filed under: Musa acuminata (dwarf banana)
Lineage: Eukaryota; Viridiplantae; Streptophyta; Magnoliopsida; Zingiberales; Musaceae
Description: long non-coding RNA (MACU_LNC007784)
Source: RNAcentral